GCGCCUAACACAUGCAAGUCGAACGGAGCUGAGAGAAGCUUGCUUUUCUUAGCUUAGUGGCGAACGGGUGAGUAACGCGUGAGUAACCUGCCCUGGAGUGGGGGACAACAGUUGGAAACGACUGCUAAUACCGCAUAAGCCCACGGUGCCGCAUGGCACAGCGGGAAAAGGAUUUAUUCGCUCUAGGAUGGACUCGCGUCCAAUUAGCUAGUUGGUGAGGUAACGGCCCACCAAGGCGACGAUUGGUAGCCGGACUGAGAGGUCGAACGGCCACAUUGGGACUGAGACACGGCCCAGACUCCUACGGGAGGCAGCAGUGGGGGAUAUUGCACAAUGGGGGAAACCCUGAUGCAGCGACGCCGCGUGGAGGAAGAAGGUUUUCGGAUUGUAAACUCCUGUCGUUAGGGACGAUAAUGACGGUACCUAACAAGAAAGCACCGGCUAACUACGUGCCAGCAGCCGCGGUAAAACGUAGGGUGCAAGCGUUGUCCGGAAUUACUGGGUGUAAAGGGAGCGCAGGCGGACCGGCAAGUUGGGAGUGAAAUCCAUGGGCUCAACCCGUGAAUUGCUUUCAAAACUGCUGGCCUUGAGUAGUGCAGAGGUAGGUGGAAUUCCCGGUGUAGCGGUGGAAUGCGUAGAUAUCGGGAGGAACACCAGUGGCGAAGGCGACCUACUGGGCACCAACUGACGCUGAGGCUCGAAAGCAUGGGUAGCAAACAGGAUUAGAUACCCUGGUAGUCCAUGCCGUAAACGAUGAUUACUAGGUGUUGGAGGAUUGACCCCUUCAGUGCCGCAGUUUAACACAAUAAGUAAUCCACCUGGGGAGUACGACCCGCAAGGGUUGAAACUCAAAGGAAUUGACGGGGGCCCGCACAAGCAGUGGAGUAUGUGGUUUAAUUCGAAGCAACGCGAAGAACCUUACCAGGUCUUGACAUCCGAUGCAUAGUGCAGAGAUGCAUGAAGUCCUUCGGGACAUCGAGACAGGUGGUGCAUGGUUGUCGUCAGCUCGUGUCGUGAGAUGUUGGGUUAAGUCCCGCAACGAGCGCAACCCUUAUUGCCAGUUACUACGCAAGAGGACUCUGGCGAGACUGCCGUUGACAAAACGGAGGAAGGUGGGGAUGACGUCAAAUCAUCAUGCCCUUUAUGACCUGGGCUACACACGUACUACAAUGGCGUUUAACAAAGAGAAGGAAGACCGCGAGGUGGAGCAAAACUCAGAAACAACGUCUCAGUUCAGAUUGCAGGCUGCAACUCGCCUGCAUGAAGUCGGAAUUGCUAGUAAUCGCGGAUCAGCAUGCCGCGGUGAAUACGUUCCCGGGCCUUGCACACACCGCCCGUCA
Molecule: ribosomal RNA, 1340 nt
Filed under: uncultured bacterium
Lineage: Bacteria
Description: bacterial SSU rRNA
Rfam family: Bacterial small subunit ribosomal RNA
Source: RNAcentral